AUGGAGACACUCCAUCGGUUUUCUCACGGCGACGAACCAAACGGAAAAUCGGAGAUAACAUUCCUAAUGCUCUGGUACAAUUCUUCUUCAACGUUUUCGUUCCAGGUGAUGUGUACUUUCUCCAUUUUUCUUCACUUAUUCGUUAACCUUUCUUCCAUUUCUUCCGAUAGUGCUGAUGAGAAAACACAAUGA
Non-coding RNA from Vicia faba (fava bean), 192 nucleotides. The record is from the annotation of a GenBank genome assembly. NCBI's taxonomy places the organism in Eukaryota, Viridiplantae, Streptophyta, Magnoliopsida, Fabales, Fabaceae.